This 1509-nucleotide ribosomal RNA is filed under the name metagenome. RNAcentral's name for it is "bacterial LSU rRNA". It matches the Rfam family "Bacterial large subunit ribosomal RNA", at positions 1391 to 2925 of the family's 2925-position model. The record is from RNAcentral.
CUGAGCCAGGAUCAAACUCUACCGUACGAUUGGAUAACAGGUUGAAAUUCCUGUACUGCUUAUGGACAGAACUGUGGGGACGCAGAAGGAGAGCACGAGCCGGAAAUGGAAAAGCCGGUACAAGCGUAUAGCAGUCAUGCAGGCAAAACCGCAUGAAAAAUGUAAAGCGUUAUGUGGAUCGAACAUUAGUAGAGAAGCGUGUGAGCCAGCUGCCAAGAAAAGCCGCUAUUGUUUCAUAAGUACCCGUACCGUAAACCGACACAGGUGGAUGAGGAGAGAAUCCUAAGGCCGGCGGGAGAAGUGUUGUUAAGGAACUCGGCAAAAUGACUCCGUAACUUCGGGAGAAGGAGUGCCACAGAGAUGUGGCCGCAGAGAAAUGGCCCAAGCAACUGUUUAGCAAAAACACAGGUCUAUGCAAAACCGAAAGGUGAGGUAUAUGGGCUGACGCCUGCCCGGUGCUGGAAGGUUAAGAGGAGAGGUUAGAGCAAUCGAAGCUUUGAAUUUAAGCCCCAGUAAACGGCGGCCGUAACGAUAACGGUCCUAAGGUAGCGAAAUUCCUUGUCGGGUAAGUUCCGACCCGCACGAAAGGCGUAAUGAUUUGGGCACUGUCUCAACAACACACCCGGUGAAAUUGAAAUACCAGUGAAGAUGCUGGUUACCUGCGCCAGGACGGAAAGACCCCAUGGAGCUUUACUCCAGUUUGAUACUGGGAUUCGGUACUGUCUGUACAGGAUAGGUGGGAGGCUAGGAAAUGGUGACGCCAGUUGCCAUGGAGCCAACCUUGGGAUACCACCCUUACAGUACUGGGUUUCUAACCUGCAGCCGUAACCCGGCUGGGGGACAAUGUCUGACGGGGAGUUUGACUGGGGCGGUCGCCUCCGAAAGAGUAUCGGAGGCGCUCAAAGGUUCCCUCAGAACGGUUGGAAACCGUUCGAAGAGUGCAAAGGCAGAAGGGAGCUUGACUGCGACACCGACGGGUGGAGCAGAUACGAAAGUAGGACUUAGUGAUCCGGUGGUAUAAAGUGGGAUUGCCAUCGCUCAACGGAUAAAAGCUACCCUGGGAUAACAGGCUUAUCACUCCCAAGAGUUCACAUCGACGGAGUGGUUUGGCACCUCGAUGUCGGCUCAUCGCAUCCUGGAGCUGUAGCAGGUUCCAAGGGUUGGGCUGUUCGCCCAUUAAAGCGGUACGCGAGCUGGGUUCAGAACGUCGUGAGACAGUUCGGUCCCUAUCCGGCGUGGGCGUAGGAUAUUUGAGAGGAGCUGUCCUUAGUACGAGAGGACCGGGAUGGACAAACCUCUGGUGUAUCUGUUGUUUUACCAAAGGCAUGGCAGAGUAGCCAAGUUUGGCAGGGAUAAACGCUGAAGGCAUCUAAGCGUGAAGCCCCCCUCAAGAUAAGAUAUCCCAUCUUCGGAGUAAGACCCCUUGAAGACUACAAGGUUGAUAGGCUUCAGGUGUAAGUGUGGUAACGCACUCAGCUGAGAAGUACUAAUAGGUCGAGGACUUAUCAA